This 253-nucleotide ribosomal RNA is filed under the name uncultured bacterium. RNAcentral's name for it is "partial 16S ribosomal RNA". It matches the Rfam family "Bacterial small subunit ribosomal RNA", at positions 524 to 776 of the family's 1533-position model. The record is from RNAcentral.
UACGAAGGGGGCUAGCGUUGCUCGGAAUCACUGGGCGUAAAGCGCACGUAGGCGGCUUGUUAAGUCAGGGGUGAAAUCCUGGAGCUCAACUCCAGAACUGCCUUUGAUACUGAUGAGCUUGAGUUCGGGAGAGGUGAGUGGAACUGCGAGUGUAGAGGUGAAAUUCGUAGAUAUUCGCAAGAACACCAGUGGCGAAGGCGGCUCACUGGCCCGAUACUGACGCUGAGGUGCGAAAGCGUGGGGAGCGAACAGG